RNAcentral lists this ribosomal RNA (1343 nucleotides) under uncultured bacterium. RNAcentral describes it as "16S ribosomal RNA". It matches the Rfam family "Bacterial small subunit ribosomal RNA", at positions 28 to 1378 of the family's 1533-position model. The record is from RNAcentral.
GACGAACGCUGGCGGCGUGCUUAACACAUGCAAGUCGAACGGAAAGGCCCUGCUUUUGCGGGGUGCUCGAGUGGCGAACGGGUGAGUAACACGUGAGUAACCUGCCCUUGACUUUGGGAUAACUUCAGGAAACUGGGGCUAAUACCGGAUAGGAGCUCCUGCUGCAUGGUGGGGGUUGGAAAGUUUCGGCGGUUGGGGAUGGACUCGCGGCUUAUCAGCUUGUUGGUGGGGUAGUGGCUUACCAAGGCUUUGACGGGUAGCCGGCCUGAGAGGGUGACCGGCCACAUUGGGACUGAGAUACGGCCCAGACUCCUACGGGAGGCAGCAGUGGGGAAUAUUGCACAAUGGGCGGAAGCCUGAUGCAGCAACGCCGCGUGCGGGAUGACGGCCUUCGGGUUGUAAACCGCUUUCGCCUGUGACGAAGCGUGAGUGACGGUAAUGGGUAAAGAAGCACCGGCUAACUACGUGCCAGCAGCCGCGGUGAUACGUAGGGUGCGAGCGUUGUCCGGAUUUAUUGGGCGUAAAGGGCUCGUAGGUGGUUGAUCGCGUCGGAAGUGUAAUCUUGGGGCUUAACCCUGAGCGUGCUUUCGAUACGGGUUGACUUGAGGAAGGUAGGGGAGAAUGGGAUUCCUGGUGGAGCGGUGGAAUGCGCAGAUAUCAGGAGGAACACCAGUGGCGAAGGCGGUUCUCUGGGCCUUUCCUGACGCUGAGGAGCGAAAGCGUGGGGAGCGAACAGGCUUAGAUACCCUGGUAGUCCACGCUGUAAACGGUGGGUACUAGGUGUGGGGUCCAUUCCACGGGUUCCGUGCCGUAGCUAACGCUUUAAGUACCCCGCCUGGGGAGUACGGCCGCAAGGCUAAAACUCAAAGGAAUUGACGGGGCCCCGCACAAGCGGCGGAGCAUGCGGAUUAAUUCGAUGCAACGCGUAGAACCUUACCUGGGUUUGACAUGGAUCGGGAGUGCUCAGAGAUGGGUGUGCCUCUUUUGGGGUCGGUUCACAGGUGGUGCAUGGCUGUCGUCAGCUCGUGUCGUGAGAUGUUGGGUUAAGUCCCGCAACGAGCGCAACCCUUGUUCACUGUUGCCAGCACGUUAUGGUGGGGACUCAGUGGAGACCGCCGGGGUCAACUCGGAGGAAGGUGGGGAUGACGUCAAGUCAUCAUGCCCCUUAUGUCCAGGGCUUCACGCAUGCUACAAUGGCUGGUACAGAGAGUGGCGAGCCUGUGAGGGUGAGCGAAUCUCGGAAAGCCGGUCUCAGUUCGGAUUGGGGUCUGCAACUCGACCUCAUGAAGUCGGAGUCGCUAGUAAUCGCAGAUCAGCAACGCUGCGGUGAAUACGUUCCCGGG